CCAGAUUAGCUCAAAGCUGAGAGUUUGACAGGAGACAAACGUAAAUGGCCAGCUAGAACUACAGAGGAAUCAAAAGAAAGCUAACUAGCAGAAAAUGAUGCCCAAUUGUAAAAAGAACUCUGCAAACUUUUUGACUAACCUGAGAAGGAAUAUUUACAAGCACAGAAGGCAAUAAAAACAGAAGUAUACACAAUCCUCACUACCACUUCAAAAUAUCAACAACCCGGCAGAGAAAUUCAAGAAAUGCAAGGAAUAAAUACGAG
This 263-nucleotide long non-coding RNA is filed under the name Manihot esculenta (cassava). RNAcentral's name for it is "long non-coding RNA (MESC_LNC001779)". The record is from RNAcentral. Lineage: Eukaryota; Viridiplantae; Streptophyta; Magnoliopsida; Malpighiales; Euphorbiaceae.